Molecule: small RNA, 942 nt
Filed under: Pongo abelii (Sumatran orangutan)
Lineage: Eukaryota; Metazoa; Chordata; Mammalia; Primates; Hominidae
Description: processed transcript
Source: RNAcentral
GUGAUUUGGAAAAGCUCAUCCUUCCGCAAGGGGUUUUCUCUUUGAUGUUCUGGCCCUGACUUUGAAGCCAGUGUUCUGGGGAGAGGCAUUUGAGAGUGACCCAGGGCCUGGGAACCGGGGCUUUUCUCAGGUGGUCUUAGGCCUGUUCUGCAACCAAGGCGAGGCCAGGAUUUCCGGAAAUAUGAGGAAGGCUUUGACCCCUACUCCAUGUUCACCCCAGAGCAGAUCAUGGGGAAGGAUGUCCGGCUCCUACGCAUUAAGAAGGAGGGAUCCUUAGACCUGGCCCUGGAAGGCGGUGUGGACUCCCCCAUUGGGAAGGUGGUCGUUUCUGCUGUGUACGAGGGGGGAGCUGCUGAGAGGCACGGUGGCAUUGUGAAAGGAGACGAGAUCAUGGCAAUCAACGGCAAGACUGUGACAGACUACACCCUGGCUGAGGCUGAGGCUGCCCUGCAGAAGGCCUGGAAUCAGGGCGGGGACUGGAUCGACCUUGUGGUUGCCGUCUGCCCUCCAAAGGAGUAUGACGAUGAGCUGACCUUCUUCUGAAGUCCAAAAGGGGAAACCAAAUUCACCCUUAGAAAACAGUGAGCUCUGGCCCCACCUCCUGAACACAAAGCCUCGGACCAGCCUUGAGAGAGGCCACACGGCACACACCAGACGGCAUCCUUGGGACCUGAAUCUAUCACCCAGGAAUCUGAAACUCCCUUUGGCCCUGAACCAGGGCCAGAUAAGGAACAGCUCGGGCCACUCUUCUGAAGGCCAACAUGGAGGAAAGGGAGCAGCCAGCAGUUUGGGAGAAGAUCUCAAGGAUCCAGACUCUCAUUCCUUUCCUCUGGCCCAGUGAAUUUGGUCUCUCCCAGCCCUGGGGGACUCCUUCCUUGAACCCUAACAAGACCCCACUGGAGUCUCUCUCUCUCCAUCCCUCUCCUCUGCCCUCUGCUUUAA